Molecule: ribosomal RNA, 440 nt
Filed under: uncultured bacterium
Lineage: Bacteria
Description: partial 16S ribosomal RNA
Rfam family: Bacterial small subunit ribosomal RNA
Source: RNAcentral
CCUACGGGAGGCAGCAGUGGGGAAUAUUGCACAAUGGGGGAAACCCUGAUGCAGCGACGCCGCGUGAGUGAAGAAGUAUUUCGGUAUGUAAAGCUCUAUCAGCAGGGAAGAAAAUGACGGUACCUGAUUAAGAAGCCCCGGCUAACUACGUGCCAGCAGCCGCGGUCAUACGUAGGGGGCAAGCGUUAUCCGGCUUUACUGGGUGUAAAGGGAGCGUAGACGGCAGCACAAGUCUGGAGUGAAAUGCCGGGGCUUAACCCCGGAAGUGCUUUGGAAACUGUGCAGCUAGAGUGCAGGAGAGGUAAGUGGAAUGCCUAGUGUAGCGGUGAAAUGCGUAGAUAUUAGGAGGAACACCAGUGGCGAAGGCGGCUUACUGGACUGUAACUGACGUUGAGGCUCGAAAGCGUGGGGAGCAAACAGGAUUAGAUACCCCGGUAGUC